RNAcentral lists this ribosomal RNA (1429 nucleotides) under metagenome. RNAcentral describes it as "bacterial SSU rRNA". It matches the Rfam family "Bacterial small subunit ribosomal RNA". The record is from RNAcentral.
GGGUCAGUGGCGGACGGGAGCGUAAUACAUGGGUAACGUACCCUGGGCAUGGGGAUAACCACGGGCCGAAAGGUCCUUUGCGAAAGUGUGGCUAAUACCCAACGAAAUCGGCGGGUCGCAUGGCCUGCCGAUCAAAAGGUGGCGCAAGCUAUCGGCCUUGGAUCGGCUCAUGUCCUAUCAGGUAGUUGGUGAGGUAACGGCCCACCAAGCCUGUGACGGGUAGCGGGGCUGAGAGGUUGACCCGCCUCAUCGGGACUGAGACACUGCCCGGACACCUACGGGUGGCUGCAGCAACGAAUAUUUGGCAAUGGGCGAAAGCCUGACCAAGCGACGCCGCGUGCGGGAUGAAGUCCUUCGGGAUGUAAACCGCUGUCAGGGUUAAUCAAGCGACCCGGUAACGACGGGAAGUUGAGAUAUCCCAGAGGAAGCCACGGCUAACUCCGUGCCAGCAGCCGCGGUAAGACGGAGGUGGCAAGCGUUACUCGGAUUUACUGGGCUUAGAGCGGGUGCAGGCGGCUGGGCAAGUCCGGAGUGAAAGCCCCCGGCUCAACCGGGGAAUUGCUUUGGAUACUGCCUGGCUUGAGGCAAGCAGGGGCCAGUGGAACGUUUGGUGUAGCGGUGAAAUGCGUAGAUAACAAACGGAACGCCGGUGGUGAAGACGGCUGGCUGGGCUUGACCUGACGCUCAGACCCGAAAGCGCGGGGAGCGAACCGGAUUAGAUACCCGGGUAGUCCACGCCCUAAACGAUGCGCACUAGGUUCGGGCGCCUCUGACGGUGUCCGGGCCGCUGUGAAAACAUUAAGUGCGCCGCCUGGGGAGUACGGCCGCAAGGCUAAAACUCAAAGGAAUUGACGGGGGCUCACACAAGCGGUGGAGCAUGUGGAUUAAUUCGAAUCAACGCGAAGAACCUUACCUGGGUUUGACAUGCACGGAUGCGGCCCGUGAAAGCGGAUCCCGUUGCCCUUCGGGGUGAAACGUGCACAGGUGCUGCAUGGCUGUCGUCAGCUCGUGCGGUGACGUGUUGGGUUAAGUCCUAUAACGAGCGAAACCCCUGUCGCUAGUUGCCAGCGGGUCAUGCCGGGCACUCUAGCGAGACUGCCGGCGUCAAGCCGGAGGAAGGCGGGGACGACGUCAAGUCAUCAUGGCCUUUAUGUCCAGGGCGUCACACGUGCUACAAUGGCUGCUACAAAGCGACGCAAAACCGCGAGGUCGAGCAAAUCGCACAAAAGCAGCCUCAGUUCGGAUUGUAGUCUGCAACCCGACUGCAUGAAGCUGGAAUCGCUAGUAAUCGCGCAUCAGCCAUGACGCGGUGAAUGUGUUCCUGAGCCUUGUACACACCGCCCGUCAAGUCAUGGAAGCCGGGAGCACCCGAAGUCCCGUUAGCUAACCCGCAAGGGAUGCGCGGGCCGACGGUGAGCCUGGUGACUGG